Molecule: ribosomal RNA, 836 nt
Filed under: uncultured fungus
Lineage: Eukaryota; Fungi
Description: eukaryotic LSU rRNA
Rfam family: Eukaryotic small subunit ribosomal RNA (bases 1-241)
Source: RNAcentral
UUGCUCUUCAACGAGGAAUCCCUAGUAAGCGCAAGUCAUCAGCUUGCGUUGAUUACGUCCCUGCCCUUUGUACACACCGCCCGUCGCUACUACCGAUUGAAUGGCUCAGUGAGACCUUCGGACUGGCCCAGAGAGGUGGGCAACUACCACUCAGGGCCGGAAAGUUGUUCAAACUCGGUCAUUUAGAGGAAGUAAAAGUCGUAACAAGGUCUCCGUUGGUGAACCAGCGGAGGGAUCAUUACCGAAGUUACCCUUCUAAACCCAUUGUGAACCUUACCUCUUGCCGCGCGUUGCCUCGGCGGGGAGGCGGGGGUGGGUCGGCGCGCCCCUCUGCGGGCCGCCGUCCCCGCCCCCGUCCCCGCCGGCCGCGCCAAACUCUAAAUUUGCAAAGCGGACUGCAUGUUCUGAUUUAAAACAAAAAACAAGUAAAAACUUUUAACAACGGAUCUCUUGGUUCUGGCAUCGAUGAAGAACGCAGCGAAAUGCGAUAAGUAAUGUGAAUUGCAGAAUUCAGUGAAUCAUCGAAUCUUCGAACGCACAUUGCGCCCGGCAGCAAUCUGCCGGGCAUGCCUGUCCGAGCGUCAUUUCUCCCCUCGAGCGCGGCUAGCCCUACGGGGCCUGCCGCCGCCCGGUGUUGGGGCUCUACGGGUGGGGCUCGUCCCCCCCGCAGUCCCCGAAAUGUAGUGGCGGUCCAGCCGCGGCGCCCCCUGCGUAGUAGAUCCUACAUCUCGCAUCGGGUCCCGGCGAAGGCCAGCCGUCGAACCUUCUUACUCAUGGUUUGACCUCGGAUCAGGUAGGGUUACCCGCUGAACUUAAGCAUAUCAAUAAGCGGAGGA